RNAcentral lists this ribosomal RNA (460 nucleotides) under uncultured bacterium. RNAcentral's name for it is "partial 16S ribosomal RNA". It matches the Rfam family "Bacterial small subunit ribosomal RNA", at positions 338 to 795 of the family's 1533-position model. The record is from RNAcentral.
CCUACGGGUGGCAGCAGUGAGGAAUCUUGGUCAAUGGACGAGAGUCUGAACCAGCCACGUAGCGUGAAGGAUGACUGCCCUAUGGGUUGUAAACUUCUUUUAUAUGGGAAUAAAAUGUUCCACGUGUGGGAUUUUGUAUGUACCCUAUGAAUAAGGAUCGGCUAACUCCGUGCCAGCAGCCGCGGUAAUACGGAGGCUCCGAGCGUUAUCCGGAUUUAUUGGGUUUAAAGGGAGCGUAGGUGGAUUGUUAAGUCAGUUGUGAAAGUUUGCGGCUCAACCGUAAAAUUGCAGUUGAAACUGGCAGUCUUGAGUACAGUAGAGGUGGGCGGAAUUCGUGGUGUAGCGGUGAAAUGCUUAGAUAUCACGAAGAACUCUGAUUGCGAAGGCAGUUCACUGGACUGCAACUGACACUGAGGCUCGAAAGUGUGGGUAUCAAACAGGAUUAGAUACCCGAGUAGUC